AGAAACAUUUACCCUCCAAGACACAUUAUGAGUUAUCAAUUACAUAUAAAGACACAUUGAGUUAAGAGAACACUUUCUUAUGUUCAUUUGUCUGAAUUGCCCUUCAACUAAAAAGAAGAUGUCAUAACAUGUGUCAAAAUUAUUUUCAAUAUAAUUCCAUUUAACUUUCACCUUUUAGUUUCAUAUUUUUUAAUUCCCUAAACUUAAUCAUGCCUCCAUCUAUCGUCAUCUUCAUCUCUCAUCUUUCGUAUCCUUCUAAAUAUUCUUCUACUUCACUAAAUUUGUAGAUUUUUUUUUUUAUAAUUCUAAAUUACUAAUUUUUGUUGUCGAAUCUUUAUCUUUCACCACUUUAUUUUUUAAAUCUCGAAUUCAUGGAAACUUCAGAUUGGGAGCUAAGGAAAGUCGAUUCUGAAAUUUCAGCUUGGGUGAUUCUAGAUCUUCGCCGACGAAUACAUCCAAGACAGCAAAGCCGAUGUAUCUCCUGCAACAUUUGAUUCACAUGUCGCCCAUCCUUUUCAUGUCCAUCAAUUUCCUUGUCCACAAAUGAACUAUCCACAAAGCUGUCUUGGAUCUAAGUUUGAUUCACAUGUCGCCCAUCCUUUUCAGUGGAUUAGCUCGUGAUUUUCCGUGGAUGAACUUGGGAUUCGACGUGGAUGAACUCGAGGUAGUUGCCUUGGAUCUAAGUUUUUUAUCUCUUCAUGGUGGCUUCUGUUGCAGAGAGAAAGCUCUAAAAGAAACAAUGGUCAAAUUACUCUAUUUUACACAUAUAGUCCUCCCAUUUUUGGAUUUUUGCAAUUUGACCCCAACAUUCUUUAAUUUACUUAUAGAUCCUCUUGA
Molecule: long non-coding RNA, 837 nt
Organism: Brassica napus (rape)
Lineage: Eukaryota; Viridiplantae; Streptophyta; Magnoliopsida; Brassicales; Brassicaceae
Exons: 2
Source: RefSeq, a predicted model, not a curated record